GCACAUAUACUGAGUUUAUACUAAAUUUGGAAUGGUACAUAGAAGGUUAACAUGGCUCCUUCACAAGUAUGACACUCCAAUUUGUAAAGCUUUCCAUAUUUUA
Molecule: small nuclear RNA, 103 nt
Organism: Acomys russatus (golden spiny mouse)
Lineage: Eukaryota; Metazoa; Chordata; Mammalia; Rodentia; Muridae
Source: RefSeq, a predicted model, not a curated record